AGGAUGAACGCUGGCGGCGUGCCUAACACAUGCAAGUCGAACGUCCUGUCUCGCAAGAGGCAGGGAGUGGCGGACGGGUGAGUACCACGUGGGUCAUCUACCGUGAGGUGAGGAAUACCGGCGAGAAAUCGCCGACAAGACCGCAUAGGCUCGAUGCAAGUCGAGCAAAGCUCUUUCGAGAGAGGGAGCGCCACACGAGGAGCCUGCGCCCGAUUAGCUAGCUGGUGGAGUAACGGUUCACCAGGGCGACGAUCGGUAGCUGGUCUGAGAGGACGAUCAGCCACACUGGGAUUGAGAACGGCCCAGACUCCUACGGGGGCAGCAGUGAGGAAUUUUCGUCAAUGGGGGCAACCCUGAACGAGCAACGCCGCGUGCAGGAAGAAGGUUUCGGAUCGUAAACUGCUUUUCUCGGGAAGAGAAUGGACGGUACCCGAGGAAUCAGCCCGGCUAACUACGCGCCAGCAGCCGCGGU
RNAcentral lists this ribosomal RNA (472 nucleotides) under uncultured bacterium. Its description in RNAcentral is "SSU rRNA". It matches the Rfam family "Bacterial small subunit ribosomal RNA", at positions 26 to 521 of the family's 1533-position model. The record is from RNAcentral.